AUUAGCCAUCUAACCCGAAAAUAUUGAUUUAGGCUCACCUGAAGAGUAGUUGGAAGGCUAGAGCGGAGCCAAUCACGGUACCGGGUAGAAUCCAAACGAGUUUGGUCACUCGGGGCUCGUUAGUCUCGCCUAGACCGGCAUUCUGCUGUUGUGCGCUGGUUAGGAGAUUGUCAGGUCUAAAAACCCACCGUUCAACGUGGGUUUUUGUCUGGGAGCGCCCAGCGCCGCUGAACCGAGCUGAAAGCUGUCGAGAGUCCUCGGAAACAGCGUGGUGUGCGCCGUACGUUGUCUGGA
Culex quinquefasciatus (southern house mosquito) is the source of this 294-nucleotide long non-coding RNA. RefSeq lists it as uncharacterized. The record is from RefSeq and is a predicted model, not a curated record. The transcript has 3 exons. NCBI's taxonomy places the organism in Eukaryota, Metazoa, Arthropoda, Insecta, Diptera, Culicidae.